RNAcentral lists this ribosomal RNA (487 nucleotides) under uncultured bacterium. RNAcentral's name for it is "bacterial SSU rRNA". It matches the Rfam family "Bacterial small subunit ribosomal RNA", at positions 501 to 990 of the family's 1533-position model. The record is from RNAcentral.
CUACGUGCCAGCAGCCGCGGUAAUACGGAGGAUGCGAGCGUUAUCCGGAUUUAUUGGGUUUAAAGGGUGCGUAGGCGGCCUGUUAAGUCAGCGGUGAAAUCUAGGAGCUUAACUCCUAAAUUGCCAUUGAUACUGGCGGGCUUGAGUGUAGAUGAGGUAGGCGGAAUGCGUGGUGUAGCGGUGGAAUGCAUAGAUAUCACGCAGAACUCCGAUUGCGAAGGCAGCUUACUAAGGUACAACUGACGCUGAAGCACGAAAGCGUGGGUAUCAAACAGGAUUAGAUACCCUGGUAGUCCACGCAGUAAACGAUGAUAACUGGGCGUAUGCGAUAUACAGUAUGCUCCUAAGCGAAAGCGUUAAGUUAUCCACCUGGGGAGUACGCCGGCAACGGUGAAACUCAAAGGAAUUGACGGGGGCCCGCACAAGCGGAGGAACAUGUGGUUUAAUUCGACGCAACGCGAGGAACCUUACCAGAUCUUGACAUCCC